Molecule: ribosomal RNA, 206 nt
Filed under: uncultured bacterium
Lineage: Bacteria
Description: partial 16S ribosomal RNA
Rfam family: Bacterial small subunit ribosomal RNA
Source: RNAcentral
UGCGCAGGUGGCCAAGUGUGUCAGGUGUGAAAUCCCGGGGCUUAACUCCGGAACUGCGCCUGAAACUGCUUGGCUAGAGCAUUGGAGAGGGUAGUGGAAUUCACGGUGUAGCAGUGAAAUGCGUAGAUAUCGUGAGGAACACCAGAGGCGAAGGCGACUACCUGGACAAUUGCUGACACUCAGGCACGAAAGCGUGGGAGCCAAAG